Long non-coding RNA from Felis catus (domestic cat), 218 nucleotides. RefSeq lists it as uncharacterized. NCBI's taxonomy places the organism in Eukaryota, Metazoa, Chordata, Mammalia, Carnivora, Felidae. The record is from RefSeq and is a predicted model, not a curated record. The transcript has 2 exons.
CACCUCCCUGGGCUUUCCGGUCCGGCGCGGAUGCACCGCGCUCUGCCACGUCUCCUCGCAGGGCCUCGCGGCGCGUGACGCCGACCGCAAGGCAGCCUGGGACUUGUAGUCUUUCGUUUUCGCCGCGUUAUCUCUAGCAAGUGGUGCCAGAAAGAUGGAAUGGAACAUUCUCCUUACCUUCGGGGCGAGGUUGAAGAUUACAUGCUUUCUCCCUUCUA